RNAcentral lists this ribosomal RNA (443 nucleotides) under uncultured bacterium. Its description in RNAcentral is "partial 16S ribosomal RNA". It matches the Rfam family "Bacterial small subunit ribosomal RNA", at positions 338 to 795 of the family's 1533-position model. The record is from RNAcentral.
CCUACGGUGGGCAGCAGUGGGGAAUAUUUGGCAAUGGGCGCAAGCCUGACCCAGCAACGCCGCGUGAAGGAAGAAGGCGUUCGGGUUGUAAACUUCUUUUCUCAGGGACGAAGCAAGUGACGGUACCUGAGGACUAAGCCACGGCUAACUACGUGCCAGCAGCCGCGGUACUACGUAGGUGGCAAGCGUUCUCCGGAUUUAAGGGGUGUAAAGGGCGUGUAGGCGGGGAAGCAAGUCAGAUGGGAAAACCACGGGCUCAACCUGUGGCCUGCAUUUGAGACUGUGUUUCUUGAGUACUGGAGAGGCAGACGGAAUUCCUAGUGUAGCGGUGAAAUGCGUAGAUAUUAGGAGGAACACCAGUGGCGAAGGCGGUCUGCUGGACAGCAACUGACGCUGAGGCGCGAAAGCGUGGGGAGCAAACAGGAUUAGAUACCCGAGUAGUC